Molecule: ribosomal RNA, 439 nt
Filed under: uncultured bacterium
Lineage: Bacteria
Description: partial 16S ribosomal RNA
Rfam family: Bacterial small subunit ribosomal RNA
Source: RNAcentral
CUACGGGUGGCAGCAGUGAGGAAUAUUGCACAGUGGGGGGAACCCUGAUGCAGCAACGCCGCGUGGAGGAUGACGCAUUUCGGUGUGUAAACUCCUUUUAUAUGUCAAGAAAAUGACGGUAGCAUAUGAAUAAGCACCGGCUAACUCCGUGCCAGCAGCCGCGGUAAUACGGAGGGUGCAAGCGUUACUCGGAAUCACUGGGCGUAAAGGACGCGUAGGCGGGUUGGAAAGUCAGGUGUGAAAUCCCACAGCUUAACUGUAGAACUGCACUUGAAACUUCUAAUCUAGAGUAUGGGAGGGGGAGAUGGAAUUAGUGGUGUAGGGGUAAAAUCCGUAGAUAUCACUAGGAAUACCUAAAGCGAAGGCGAUCUCCUGGAACAUUACUGACGCUAAGGCGUGAAAGCGUGGGGAGCAAACAGGAUUAGAUACCCUAGUAGUC